RNAcentral lists this ribosomal RNA (253 nucleotides) under uncultured bacterium. RNAcentral describes it as "partial 16S ribosomal RNA". It matches the Rfam family "Bacterial small subunit ribosomal RNA", at positions 524 to 776 of the family's 1533-position model. The record is from RNAcentral.
UACAGAGGUCUCAAGCGUUGUUCGGAUUCAUUGGGCGUAAAGGGUGCGUAGGUGGCGCGCUAAGUCAGGUGUGAAGUUUCGGAGCUUAACUCCGAAACUGCAUUUGAUACUGGCGUGCUUGAGGACUGGAGAGGAGACUGGAAUUCAUGGUGUAGCAGUGAAAUGCGUAGAGAUCAUGAGGAAGACCAGUGGCGAAGGCGGGUCUCUGGACAGUUCCUGACACUGAGGCACGAAGGCCAGGGGAGCAAACGGG